AGUCAAAUCUAAACGAUCGUGUAU
This 24-nucleotide microRNA is filed under the name Cucumis melo (muskmelon). Its description in RNAcentral is "cme-miR7129". Lineage: Eukaryota; Viridiplantae; Streptophyta; Magnoliopsida; Cucurbitales; Cucurbitaceae. The record is from miRBase by way of RNAcentral.